ACAUCACCCGGGGGCGUGUGCUUGCUCUGGAAAUGAACCUGCUUCCCCAGAAAGGAGAUGUGUGAAAAUUCUUUGUCCUCUAGGAUACAGACAGUGAGUGUGGGAGUUAGCACAGAACCUUGCUAUGCCAGGGCACAGUGACAGCCUGGGCUUCACCCUGAAACACUAAACAAGAACAGGAGGCAGGGAAUGAAGAGUCUCUUAGAGCCAAUGGAUUCCACUCCUUUGGAUGACCGGCUCCAGGCCCUGGAGCCCUCAGAAUAUGGAUGGAGACUGUUCUGCAUCUCAUUUUCUUUUCUGGGAUACCUAGCAAGAAGGUGCUUCCUGGAGGGGCCUGCCCCACUGUUCCUGUGCUGAGUUCCAGGACAGCCUCAACUUCAGCUACCAUCCCUCAGGCCUGAGCCUGCACCUCAGACCACCCAGUCGGGGAAGCUCCCCCAAGGAGCAGCCCCUCUCCCAAGUCCUAAGACCUGAGCCCCCAGAUCCAGAGAAGCUUCCUGUGCCCCCUGCCCCUCCAUCCAAGAGGCACUGCCGCUCACUCUCAGUGC
Molecule: small RNA, 548 nt
Filed under: Pongo abelii (Sumatran orangutan)
Lineage: Eukaryota; Metazoa; Chordata; Mammalia; Primates; Hominidae
Description: processed transcript
Source: RNAcentral